ACUAUAUUAACAUAUACAAUGUUUUAAGCUUAGAACUUAAUUAAGUAGCAUAUUUAACACUACAUUUAGUA
Molecule: transfer RNA, 71 nt
Filed under: Bemisia tabaci
Lineage: Eukaryota; Metazoa; Arthropoda; Insecta; Hemiptera; Aleyrodidae
Also listed under: 1 other name
Description: tRNA-Leu
Source: RNAcentral